Xenia sp. Carnegie-2017 is the source of this 474-nucleotide long non-coding RNA. RefSeq lists it as uncharacterized. The transcript has 4 exons. Lineage: Eukaryota; Metazoa; Cnidaria; Anthozoa; Malacalcyonacea; Xeniidae. The record is from RefSeq and is a predicted model, not a curated record.
CCAGCCUGGAUCAUUUGUACUUUGCUUAAAGUUUUCUCUUAUGCCAAAGAAGACAAGUACCUCCAAAGUUUGAACGCUUCUACCAAGGUUAUUGCUGCCACCCUGGGGCGUGCACAUAAUCAUGACAUAACUGGACCCAGUCCUUCCAACCGAUUUAUAUAGAGGUUUGAGAAAUUGGCGAUAAACUGUCGACAUGAUUACGAUUCUUUACAAAGUUCUUUCAAACAUGGUAAUCCUCCUCCACGUUAUCAUUAUGAAAACAGAACAUUUCAUAACGUCAGCUAAAACGGUGUGCAAAAUGCACAUUGCACACCGUUAAUUCGCACACUGUUGAGGGAGAAGGAGAAGAGUCAUGGUGAUGGUGUGCAACGCUUUCUCACCUAUCUAAACCCUGUGUAACCCUUUCUUACCUAUCUAAACCCUGUGCAACGCUUUCUUACCUAUCUAAACCCUGUGUAACCCUUUCUCACCCAU